Molecule: unclassified non-coding RNA, 320 nt
Filed under: Hevea brasiliensis (rubber tree)
Lineage: Eukaryota; Viridiplantae; Streptophyta; Magnoliopsida; Malpighiales; Euphorbiaceae
Source: RNAcentral
AAAAAAUAAUAUUUUUUGUUAUACGUUUUUAAAAUAACCAACUUUAUACAAAACAAUAUAGCAAAUUGGGCGCGAGCAUAUACAUUCUGCUUCAAACACAAUUAAGAAAGGACGCAUCUUUGAGACAAAAUUACAUUCCAAGCAAGAUACUUCGCCUGUGCAUACCCACACAAAAUACUACCUUUUCCACUGUCUUUUGAUGGCAAAAUUGCAACCCUUGUAUAGCUUCUGCUUGAAUCUGGAAUGUUUGAAACAAGUACACAUUUGCUUUCAAUUAUCCCCUUUCCCUGUAUGGCUUAUGACCAACUGAUAGCUGCUUG